This 492-nucleotide ribosomal RNA is filed under the name uncultured bacterium. RNAcentral describes it as "bacterial SSU rRNA". It matches the Rfam family "Bacterial small subunit ribosomal RNA", at positions 28 to 511 of the family's 1533-position model. The record is from RNAcentral.
GAUGAACGCUAGCGGCAGGCUUAACACAUGCAAGUCGAGGGGUAACAGGGAUUAGUUUACUAAUUUGCUGACGACCGGCGCACGGGUGAGUAACGCGUAUACAAUUUACCUUUUACAGAGGAAUAGCCCAGAGAAAUUUGGAUUAAUGCCUCAUAGUAUUAUCGGAUCGCAUGGUUUGAUAAUUAAAGUUUCGGCGGUAAAAGAUGAGUAUGCGUUCUAUUAGCUAGAUGGUAAGGUAACGGCUUACCAUGGCGACGAUAGAUAGGGGCCCUGAGAGGGGGAUCCCCCACACUGGUACUGAGACACGGACCAGACUCCUACGGGAGGCAGCAGUGAGGAAUAUUGGGCAAUGGAGGCAACUCUGACCCAGCCAUGCCGCGUGCAGGAAGACGGCCCUAUGGGUUGUAAACUGCUUUUAUAUAGGAAGAACUGCAUCUACGUGUAGAUGUUUGACGGUACUAUAUGAAUAAGCACCGGCUAACUCCGUGCCAG